GAUCUCUUAAUAGUUGUUGAUGGAUUGAGAUUUCAAAGGACAAUGAGAAAACACUAUUCUGCAAUGAGGUCUACUUUCUUCACUGUGGAGUCGGCACUCGAGGUGGGCAGCGAAUGGAGACCCCCUGCUUCCCUCAGGGGCCACAGGGACAUGCUGACUGCUUCCAGGACCGGUGAGAGACCAGGAGCUUGACAGAAAAUCUACCUAUUCAGAGAAUCCUACCUGGAAAAGCAAAAUAUGAAAAAAGAUUAGUGGAAGAGAAAAACAAAGGAAAAAUUAGAAAGAAGAGGAAAAACAUCUGCAUGUCAGGCAUCAAACCAUAGGAUGUCAAGAGUAGAUUCCACUUUCAAUUUUUUAUUCUAAUGUGUAUUCUGUGUUUGUAAUAUAGAUGCUGCAUUGACUGAUGCUCUAUAAAUACUGUACUAGACAUAGA
Molecule: long non-coding RNA, 433 nt
Organism: Mauremys reevesii (Reeves's turtle)
Lineage: Eukaryota; Metazoa; Chordata; Testudines; Geoemydidae
Exons: 3
Source: RefSeq, a predicted model, not a curated record